GUUGCUUCUUGGCCUUUGGGCUAAGAUCAAGCGUAGUAUCUGAUUCAGUAUCUGAUACGUCCUCUAUCUGAGGACAAUAUAUUAAAUGGAUUUUUGGAGCAGGGAGUUGGAAUAGGAACUUGCUCUGUCCAGUCCAUGUGUCAACCUCAUAUUACAGUACCUCCAGGCAUGGUGCAAAACAA
This is a small nuclear RNA of Vicugna pacos (alpaca), 182 nucleotides long. Its record names the gene U2. It matches the Rfam family "U2 spliceosomal RNA". From Rfam's summary of the family: U2 is a small nuclear RNA (snRNA) component of the spliceosome (involved in pre-mRNA splicing). Complementary binding between U2 snRNA (in an area lying towards the 5' end but 3' to hairpin I) and the branchpoint sequence (BPS) of the intron results the bulging out of an unpaired adenosine, on the BPS, which initiates a nucleophilic attack at the intronic 5' splice site, thus starting the first of two transesterification reactions that mediate splicing. NCBI's taxonomy places the organism in Eukaryota, Metazoa, Chordata, Mammalia, Artiodactyla, Camelidae. The record is from Ensembl.